Molecule: non-coding RNA, 441 nt
Organism: Oncorhynchus mykiss (rainbow trout)
Lineage: Eukaryota; Metazoa; Chordata; Actinopteri; Salmoniformes; Salmonidae
Source: RefSeq, a predicted model, not a curated record
GGUUUAACCAGGUUAUGUUAGUAGGUUACUAGAUUAACAUGAAUGACUGUACCAGGUUUAACCAGGUUAUGUUAGUAGGUUACUAGAUUAACAUGAAUGACUGUACCAGGUUUAACCAGGUUAUAUUAGUAGGUUACUAGAUUAACAUGAAUGACUGUACCAGGUUAUAUUAGUAGGUUACUAGAUUAACAUGAAUGACUGUACCAGGUUAUAUUAGUAGGUUACUAGAUUAACAUGAACGACUGUACCAGGUUAUAUUAGUAGGUUACUAGAUUAACAUGAAUGACUGUACCAGGUUUAACCAGGUUAUAUUGGUAGGUUACUAGAUUAACAUGAAUGACUGUACCAGGUUUAACCAGGUUAUAUUAGUAGGUUACUAGAUUAACAUGAAUGACUGUACCAGGUUUAACCAGGUUAUAUUGGUAGGUUACUAGAUUAACA